AAUCUCUGUCGUGUGAAGUCAAAUAUUUGUGGACAUGUCUACAAAGCUUCAUAAGGUUUUAGGCAUCAUUGGGCUUUAUUGAGCUUUAUUGGGCCUAUGAAUUGGUAGAGCCCAUAAAAUAAGAGUUUUUAGGGGUUAGAUGCAUAUAAAAGAGUAAGCUGACCAUCAAAAUCUAUCUAGCUACUCCGCCGCUUUUCUCAUUUGCUUAGAUCUAAAACCCCAUCCAGAGGAGGGAAAGGGUGAAUCUUCUGAGGCAACCAGCAUGAGGGCUAAGUGGAAGAAGAAGCGUAUGAGGAGGUUGAAGAGGAAGAGACGAAAGAUGAGACAGCGAUCUAAGUAGUUUCGUAACCUGUUUUUGUCUCUUUACCGACAUUUGUGAGAGUUUUGUUGGUUUUCUGUCUACAUUUUAAUGUUUUUGUUGGACCAAGCUAUGAUUUCAAUCAGAAUACUUAUGUUUAUUA
Long non-coding RNA from Brassica napus (rape), 461 nucleotides. RefSeq lists it as uncharacterized. NCBI's taxonomy places the organism in Eukaryota, Viridiplantae, Streptophyta, Magnoliopsida, Brassicales, Brassicaceae. The transcript has 2 exons. The record is from RefSeq and is a predicted model, not a curated record.